Bombina bombina (fire-bellied toad) is the source of this 1097-nucleotide long non-coding RNA. RefSeq lists it as uncharacterized. The record is from RefSeq and is a predicted model, not a curated record. Lineage: Eukaryota; Metazoa; Chordata; Amphibia; Anura; Bombinatoridae. The transcript has 2 exons.
AUGUCUGAUGUCUGAUGUCUGAGUCAGUCUGAGAGUCCGAGUAUUUGUGGUGUGUGUAUUUGAGUGUAUUUUUGGGACCCAUGGAUGGACGCAUCCUCGGUGUUGUUUUUUCCCGCUGAUCGCCUGCUUUUCUCCUGGUCCAAAGAUUGCCCAGAUGUCCCCUCCCAUUGCGCCCCAGAAGCGGCAGGAUAGGAUGAUGCAAACAGAGAUCACGUGAACAAGUGUCCUACUUGACCAAACUGGAAAGUUAUAUUACAUCCUCCUGCCUGGUUUCAGCACAGAAGAUCUCCACCUUCUGUUUGUCCCCCACUCAGCGUAAGACACAGACUGAUAGCCCUGUGUGGGCUGCCCAACAAGAUACUAACUUGCUGUAUACACGUGUGUGCUACUAACUGUGCUAACUGAAGUUUGAGUGCAUUAAUAACCUGACACAUUGCUGUGUUUGAACUUUGAAUAGACUACUAACAUACAUGUGUUCUCAUUACAACGUUAUAAUAUCUUUACCAGCCUAGUGUUAGCACCGAAGACCGCCACGUUUCUUUUCUCUUUUUAUUAUAGACGGUAUGUGAUACAGGUUGACAUCACACUACAGGGGCUUCUAACUUAUCUUGUGUUUGACAGACUGACGAGUGCGCUUAAAUUGUGCUGACUGAAGUUUGACUUUUGGAAUGAUCUGAUUAAUCAUUAUACUUUGAUUCUAUCUACAUAUUUUUUUUUGGAAUUAUGUCUUAUAAGUGAGCUCUUCUGGGCUAAAUAUUUGUAAUUUUUUUCUUUAAUAACCAUGGAUAUGGAUCAAGAAUUAACUGAGUGCUUUGUGUUUGAGGAUCUUACUAAGACUCUGGAUACCUCAACUAACACAUUACAAACCUGGCUAAAAGAUGCAGAACAGAACUUGGACAGUCUUUUUGUACAAAUGGAUCAACUAAGAAAGAAAGACAUUAGAUUGGAGAUGGAUAUAAAAACUUUCCUCUUCUACCAAAAGAGGGAACACAUACCCAGAGACUUAAGAAUUAAGAAAUUUUCAUCUUUUCAUGUAACAUGUUUAGAAUUUAUUGAUAAGUGGAAUGCUGCAUUAACUAAAUGUUCACAAACACUCA